This 282-nucleotide small RNA is filed under the name Nomascus leucogenys (northern white-cheeked gibbon). RNAcentral describes it as "Metazoan signal recognition particle RNA (ENSNLEG00000028794.1)". The record is from RNAcentral. Lineage: Eukaryota; Metazoa; Chordata; Mammalia; Primates; Hylobatidae.
GCCAGGUGUGGUGGCUCACACCUGUAAUCCUAGCACUUGGGGAGGCUGAGGCAGGUGGAUCCCUUGAACCCAGGAGUUCAAGAUCAGCCUGGGGAAUGUGGUAAAACCCUGGCUCUACAAAAAAUACAAAAAUUAGCUGGGCAUGGUGGUGUACACCUGUAGUUCCAGCUACUCAGAAGGCUGAGGUAGGAGGAUCUCUUGAACCAGGGAGGUCAAGGCUGCAGUGAGCUGAGAUCAUGCCACUGUAUUCCAGCCUGGGUGACAAAGUGAGACCCUGUCUCA